Molecule: long non-coding RNA, 524 nt
Organism: Caretta caretta (loggerhead turtle)
Lineage: Eukaryota; Metazoa; Chordata; Testudines; Cheloniidae
Source: RefSeq, a predicted model, not a curated record
UUGUUCUCAGCCCUGCGCCUACCUUGGCUUACCCUUGCUUUGCUCCAGGUAACCUGGAUUCUGAUGUUCAGCUCCAAUUCCAGACUUCUGACUUUGGCUCUGAUCCUGGCCCUGGGCUCUGAUUCCUGAUCCUUGGCUUUGACCUUUGGCUCUGGCACUGAUUCCUGACUCCUGCAGUAGCCAGCUUCCUCCUGCCAUACUCCCACAGAGAAGUACAGUGUUGAUAUCAAUUGGAGUUUUGCCGAAUGGACUGAAGAACUGGGCCUAUAUACAUGGAUUGGGAAAAUAGAACUUGGAAAUCCAGAUCCGUCAUGUGGAUCUGAACAGAGUUUUGACCUAAGACUACAGAUGCAGAACUAUUGAAUUUCAGAUUCUACAGAGCCAACUCCUCACAUAGUGAGGACUGUACUGUGGACAGUUUUGGUGGCCAUGUAUUAAAAAUGAUGUUGAAAACUUGGAGAAGGUGAAGAAAAGAGCCACAAAAUGAUUUGAGUGUUGGAAAAAUGCCUCACAGUGAGAGACUU